GGAGGGUUAGCCUAAUUGGUAAGGCGGCGGAUUUGAAAUCCGCUGGGUCAUAGGGCCCUUGGGGGUUCGAGUCCCUCACCCUCCG
This 85-nucleotide transfer RNA is filed under the name bacterium. RNAcentral describes it as "tRNA-Ser". It matches the Rfam family "tRNA". Rfam says of the family: Transfer RNA (tRNA) molecules are approximately 80 nucleotides in length. Their secondary structure includes four short double-helical elements and three loops (D, anti-codon, and T loops). The record is from RNAcentral.